This 718-nucleotide ribosomal RNA is filed under the name uncultured Bacteroidales bacterium. RNAcentral describes it as "bacterial SSU rRNA". It matches the Rfam family "Bacterial small subunit ribosomal RNA", at positions 68 to 776 of the family's 1533-position model. Lineage: Bacteria; Pseudomonadati; Bacteroidota; Bacteroidia; Bacteroidales. The record is from RNAcentral.
AGCAUGGUCUUAGCUUGCUAAGGCUGAUGGCGACCGGCGCACGGGUGAGUAACACGUAUCCAACCUGCCGUCUACUCUUGGCCAGCCUUCUGAAAGGAAGAUUAAUCCAGGAUGGGAUCAUGAGUUCACAUGUCCGCAUGAUUAAAGGUAUUUUCCGGUAGACGAUGGGGAUGCGUUCCAUUAGAUAGUAGGCGGGGUAACGGCCCACCUAGUCAACGAUGGAUAGGGGUUCUGAGAGGAAGGUCCCCCACAUUGGAACUGAGACACGGUCCAAACUCCUACGGGAGGCAGCAGUGAGGAAUAUUGGUCAAUGGGCGAUGGCCUGAACCAGCCAAGUAGCGUGAAGGAUGACUGCCCUAUGGGUUGUAAACUUCUUUUAUAAAGGAAUAAAGUCGGGUAUGCAUACCCGUUUGCAUGUACUUUAUGAAUAAGGAUCGGCUAACUCCGUGCCAGCAGCCGCGGUAAUACGGAGGAUCCGAGCGUUAUCCGGAUUUAUUGGGUUUAAAGGGAGCGUAGAUGGAUGUUUAAGUCAGUUGUGAAAGUUUGCGGCUCAACCGUAAAAUUGCAGUUGAUACUGGAUGUCUUGAGUGCAGUUGAGGCAGGCGGAAUUCGUGGUGUAGCGGUGAAAUGCUUAGAUAUCACGAAGAACUCCGAUUGCGAAGGCAGCCUGCCAAGCUGCAACUGACAUUGAGGCUCGAAAGUGUGGGUAUCAAACAGG